This 331-nucleotide long non-coding RNA is filed under the name Amborella trichopoda. Its description in RNAcentral is "long non-coding RNA (ATRI_LNC003039)". Lineage: Eukaryota; Viridiplantae; Streptophyta; Magnoliopsida; Amborellales; Amborellaceae. The record is from RNAcentral.
UCUCUUCUCACAGAGCUCGUCUUCAUGCUCUACUCUACUCUCUUCUGAGUCUCUCUUCUUUCAAUCCAUAUACUCAGAAACCUGCUUUGCCCUUCGUCUUGAAAUUACUACAAGCUAUCUUGACCUCAUAGCUUCAAUAUCCUUCAAUCAUCAGGUUCACCUUCUUCUCUCCUUACAUUUAAAUGUGGGAUUGCAAUCUUACUUCCCUUCCUUCAUACUGCCCACAUCUCUGAAAAUUAUUUUCCAGUUACUGUACAUGCACCCAGUAAGUCUUUCUGUUUUCUGAGCUUUGCUUUCUUUUUUCUGAUUUCUACUUUCUGUUUUCUGAGUU